GCCUGGGUGGCUCAGUCGGUGGAGCCUCUGACUUCGGCUCAGGUCGGGAUCUCUCUGCUUGCGGGUUCGAGCCUCGCACCGGGCU
Molecule: transfer RNA, 85 nt
Filed under: Felis catus (domestic cat)
Lineage: Eukaryota; Metazoa; Chordata; Mammalia; Carnivora; Felidae
Rfam family: tRNA
About the family: Transfer RNA (tRNA) molecules are approximately 80 nucleotides in length.
Source: Rfam by way of RNAcentral